GGGGAAUUUUCCGCAAUGGGCGCAAGCCUGACGGAGCAACGCCGCGUGAGGGAGGAAUGUCUGUGGAUUGUAAACCUCUUUUCUCUGGGAAGAAGAUCUGACGGUACCAGAGGAAUCAGCAUCGGCUAACUCCGUGCCAGCAGCCGCGGUAAGACGGAGGAUGCAAGCGUUAUCCGGAAUUAUUGGGCGUAAAGCGUCCGUAGGCGGUUAUUUAAGUCAGUUGUUAAAGACUGCAGCUCAACUGUGGGAGAGCAACUGAAACUGAAUGACUAGAGUAUGGUAGGGGUAGAGGGAAUUCCUAGUGUAGCGGUGAAAUGCGUAGAUAUUAGGAAGAACACCAGUGGCGAAGGCGCUCUACUGGGCCAAGACUGACGCUGAUGGACGAAAGCUAGGGGAGCGAAAGGGAUUAGAUACCCCUGUAGUCCUAGCUGUAAACGAUGGAUACUAGGUGUUGUGCGUAUCGACCCGUGCAGUACCGCAGCAAACGCGUUAAGUAUCCCGCCUGGGGAGUACGCACGCAAGUGUGAAACUCAAAGGAAUUGACGGGGGCCCGCACAAGCGGUGGAGUAUGUGGUUUAAUUCGAUGCAACGCGAAGAACCUUACCAGGACUUGACAUCCCCCGAAUUUCUGAGAAAUCAGAAAGUGCCUUCGGGAACGGGGAGACAGGUGGUGCAUGGCUGUCGUCAGCUCGUGUCGUGAGAUGUUGGGUUAAGUCCCGCAACGAGCGCAACCCACGUCUUUAGUUGCCAUCAUUAAGUUGGGCACUCUGGAGAGACUGCCGGGGACAACUCGGAGGAAGGUGUGGACGACGUCAAGUCAUCAUGCCCCUUACGUUCUGGGCUACACACGUACUACAAUGCAACGGACAAAGGGCAGCCAACUAGCGAUAGUGAGCUAAUCCCAUAAACCGUUGCUCAGUUCAGAUUGCAGGCUGCAACUCGCCUGCAUGAAGGAGGAAUCGCUAGUAAUCGCAGGUCAGCAUACUGCGGUGAAUACGUUCCCGGGCCUUGUACACACCGCCCGUCACACCAUGGAAGUUGGCCAUGCCCGAAGUCGUUACCCUAACCGUUCGCGGAGGGGGGCGCCGAAGGCAGGGCUGAUGACUGGGGUGAAGUCGUAACAAGGUAACCGU
RNAcentral lists this ribosomal RNA (1133 nucleotides) under Leptolyngbya ectocarpi LEGE 11425. Its description in RNAcentral is "bacterial SSU rRNA". It matches the Rfam family "Bacterial small subunit ribosomal RNA", at positions 356 to 1503 of the family's 1533-position model. Lineage: Bacteria; Bacillati; Cyanobacteriota; Cyanophyceae; Leptolyngbyales; Leptolyngbyaceae. The record is from RNAcentral.